RNAcentral lists this ribosomal RNA (253 nucleotides) under uncultured bacterium. RNAcentral describes it as "partial 16S ribosomal RNA". It matches the Rfam family "Bacterial small subunit ribosomal RNA", at positions 524 to 776 of the family's 1533-position model. The record is from RNAcentral.
UACAGAGGGGGCAAGCGUUAUUCGGAAUUAUUGGGCGUAAAGGGCGCGUAGGCGGCCUGGCAAGUGGAAGGUGAAAUCCCUCGGCUUAACCGAGGAACUGCCCUCCAAACUGCUUGGCUUGAGUCCGGGAGAGGUGAGUGGAAUUCCCAGUGUAGCGGUGAAAUGCGUAGAUAUUCGGAAGAACACCAGUGGCGAAGGCGGCUCACUGGACUGGUAUUGACGCUGAUGUGCGAAAGCGUGGGGAGCAAACAGG